Molecule: ribosomal RNA, 301 nt
Filed under: uncultured bacterium
Lineage: Bacteria
Description: partial 16S ribosomal RNA
Rfam family: Bacterial small subunit ribosomal RNA
Source: RNAcentral
CAGCCGCCGCGGGAAUACGUAGGUCCCGAGCGUUGUCCGGAUUUAUUGGGCGUAAAGCGAGCGCAGGCGGUUAGAUAAGUCUGAAGUUAAAGGCUGUGGCUUAACCAUAGUACGCUUUGGAAACUGUUUAACUUGAGUGCAAGAGGGGAGAGUGGAAUUCCAUGUGUAGCGGUGAAAUGCGUAGAUAUAUGGAGGAACACCGGUGGCGAAGGCGGCUCUCUGGCUUGUAACUGACGCUGAGGCUCGAAAGCGUGGGGAGCAAACAGGAUUAGAUACCCGCGUAGUCCCUGUCUCUUAUACA